This 511-nucleotide ribosomal RNA is filed under the name uncultured Planctomycetota bacterium. RNAcentral's name for it is "bacterial SSU rRNA". It matches the Rfam family "Bacterial small subunit ribosomal RNA", at positions 117 to 643 of the family's 1533-position model. Lineage: Bacteria; Pseudomonadati; Planctomycetota. The record is from RNAcentral.
GUAGAUACCAACCCUCGGGACGGGGAUAGCUGCGGGAAACUGCAGGUAAUACCCGAUAACGUCUAUGGACCAAAGGUGUGAUUCCACCUGAGGACGGGUCUGCAUCCUAUUAGCUAGUUGGCGGGGUAAUGGCCCACCAAGGCUGUGAUGGGUAGCGGGUGUGAGAGCACGACCCGCGUCACUGGGACUGAGAACUGCCCAGACACCUACGGGUGGCUGCAGUCGAGGAUUUUUGGCAAUGAGCGCAAGCUUGACCAAGCGACGCCGCGUGCGGGAUGAAGGCCUUCGGGUUGUAAACCGCUGUCAGUGGGGAGGAAGGUUUCGUGAAGAGCGAAACUUGACUAAUCCGCANAGGAAGUGAGGGCUAAGCUCGUGCCAGCAGCCGCGGUAAGACGAGCCUCACAAACGUUAUUCGGAAUCACUGGGCUUAAAGGGUGCGUAGGCGGUGUGGAUAGUCGGGUGUGAAAUACCUCAGCUUAACUGAGGAACUGCACUCGAUACUUCCAUGCUA